Drosophila ananassae is the source of this 351-nucleotide long non-coding RNA. RefSeq lists it as uncharacterized. The transcript has 2 exons. NCBI's taxonomy places the organism in Eukaryota, Metazoa, Arthropoda, Insecta, Diptera, Drosophilidae. The record is from RefSeq and is a predicted model, not a curated record.
UGUCCUUGGCCUUGGGCAUCUUCACAUCAGCGGCGGAUCUCGUAAACUCCUUUACCAGGAUACCCGGUGUCUUUUUCUGGCCAUUUUUCAGUUCGUAAAAGUGCAGGAGAUUCUCUCGAAUACGCCUGAAUAUAACAAAUAGAGUGUUUCGCAGGAUCCUCGAAUUUGAGCCAUUUAUAAAAAUAUAUUGGAGGACGCUGAAGCACCAAUCCCACAACAAAACUCUGGUAGUGAAGCUAAUCUUGGGCGGAGCUGUACAUUUUCAAGGAGGAUUGAUGUGAUUUUUAAAUCUAAGCUUAAACUGCUUAAAAAAGCUUACCAGAAAUAAUAAAUAGUAUAAGAAUUUCUGUA